AUGUCGUCCGGCGAGUAUGAGCGCUACGUGGCCAUGGCUGCGACGGCGGCGGGGGCGGCGAUGGUGAUCAACGGCCUGAUGAACGAGCUGCUGCCCUACGAGCUCCGCGACGCGCUCACCCUCUCCACCGCGGACGUGGUGCGCCGCCUCCGCGCCCGCCUCUCCCCCACCCACACCGUCGUCAUCGACGAGGCCGAGGGCCUCGCGCCCAACCAGCUCUUCGACGCCGCCCGCGCCUACCUCGCCUCGCUCACCGGCACCGCCUCCGCCGCCCGCCGCCUCCGCGCCUCCCGCGUUAACGAGGCCCAGGGCAUCCUCGUCACCAUGGACCACGGCGAGGAAACCGUCGACGUCCACGACGGCGUCACCUACACCUGGCGCCUCGUCUCCCGCAACGUCGCCGGUAACAGCGGCUCCUUCCCAAGCCACGGCUCCGGCGCCGGACACAACGGCCGCCGCGGCCCCCACGGCGGCUGCCACAGGUCCUUCGAGCUCAGCUUCCACAAGAAGCACAAGGAGCAGGCGCUCGCCUCGUACCUGCCGUUCGUCGUGGACGCCGCCAAGGCCAUCCGGGACCGGCACCGGGACCUCAAGAUGCACAUGAUCGAGUACGACGCGUGGACCCCCGUCGACCUCCGCCACCCCUCCACCUUCGACACGAUCGCCAUGGACGGCGACCUCAAGCGAUCCGUCAUGGACGACCUCGAGCGGUUCGUCAGGAGGAAGGACUACUACCGCAGGACCGGCAGGGCGUGGAAGCGCGGGUACCUGCUCUACGGCCCGCCGGGCACCGGCAAGUCCAGCCUCGUAGCCGCCAUGGCCAACUACCUCAAGUUCGACAUCUACGACCUCGAGCUGACCGAGGUCAAGUCCAACUCGGACCUCCGCAGGCUGCUCGUCGGCAUGAGCAACCGCUCCAUCCUCGUCGUUGAGGACAUCGACUGUAGCAUCGACCUGCCGCAGCGUGGCGAUCAAGGCGGCGAGAGGCGUGGGAGGCACAGCUUCACCGGAGGAGAAGACAACGAGGACAAGGUGACGUUAUCCGGGCUGCUCAACUUCGUUGACGGCCUGUGGUCGACGAGCGGGGAGGAGAGGAUCAUCGUCUUCACCACAAACUACAAGGAGCGGCUCGACCCGGCACUGCUGCGGCCCGGCAGGAUGGACAUGCACGUCCACAUGGGAUAUUGCACCUCGGAGUCCUUCAGGAUCCUGGCCAGGAACUACCACUUCGUCGAAGAUGACCACACCAUGUAUCUGGAGAUCGAGAAGCUGAUGGAGGAGGUGCCGAUCACACCGGCAGAGGUUGCCGAGGUUCUGAUGAGGAACGACGGAGCCGACGCUGCACUUAGUGAUCUCGUCGGGUUCCUCGAGGCAAAGAGGGGAGAAGUCGGUGCCAACAAGGGCGUAAAACAUCAUGGAAACAACAAGGUGGAUAAAUAUGAGCAGACAAUGGUGUUGUACUGCACUCCGGAGUACUUUAGGGGCGUGUCCCGUGACUACCAAUCACUUAAAGACCGUGCCAUGAUUCCCGAGGUCGAGCAGUUGUUGAGUGAGGUGCCGACCACGAUCGAAGAGGUCACCGAUGUUGUAGGGAGGAAUAACGGCGGGGCGGACGCCGCAAUCCGAGAUCUCAUCGGGUUCCUCAAGGCAAAGAGGGGUGACGCCGGUGAGAACAAUGGUGCGAACCAAGAUGGAAACCACAAUGGUGAUAAUAAAUAG
Molecule: ribosomal RNA, 1719 nt
Filed under: Triticum aestivum (bread wheat)
Lineage: Eukaryota; Viridiplantae; Streptophyta; Magnoliopsida; Poales; Poaceae
Description: partial small subunit ribosomal RNA
Source: RNAcentral